This 484-nucleotide ribosomal RNA is filed under the name uncultured bacterium. RNAcentral's name for it is "partial 16S ribosomal RNA". It matches the Rfam family "Bacterial small subunit ribosomal RNA", at positions 30 to 507 of the family's 1533-position model. The record is from RNAcentral.
AUUGAACGCUGGCGGCAGGCCUAACACAUGCAAGUCGAGCGGAUGAAGGGAGCUUGCUCCUGGAUUCAGCGGCGGACGGGUGAGUAAUGCCUAGGAAUCUGCCUGGUAGUGGGGGAUAACGUCCGGAAACGGGCGCUAAUACCGCAUACGUCCUGAGGGAGAAAGUGGGGGAUCUUCGGACCUCAUGCUAUCAGAUGAGCCUAGGUCGGAUUGGCUAGUUGGUGGGGUAAAGGCCUACCAAGGCGACGAUCCGUAACUGGUCUGAGAGGAUGAUCAGUCACACGGGAACUGAGACACGGUCCAGGCGCCUACGGGAGGCAGCAGUGGGGAAUAUUGGACAAUGGGCGAGAACCUGAUCCAGCCAUGCCGCGUGUGUGAAGAAGGUCUUCGGAUUGUAAAGCACUUUAAGUUGGGGGGAAGGGCAGUAAGUUAAUACCUUGCUGUUUUGACGGUACCAACAGAAUAAGCACCGGCUAACUUCGUG